ACGGCACUCCCGAACGCUCACUGAAUUAAAUAGGUAAUUCAACAAGAGAGAAGAAUUAAUGUAGUCCUAUAAAAAUAAAAUAACACCAAAAAACCUAAUAUAUAGACUUUUUACCUUCGCAAGUCAACUUCCCCAAGUACUACAGAAUCUCCACCAGCUGUACCACUGUUAACCGUUACUCCUCAUAUAACCUUUCCUUAAACUCCACAAAAAAAAAAAAAAUCCUUUCAAAAUCUUGCACGCUCUUUUCCACCCAUGAAAACAAACAAGAAAACCACUAUGCAAGCGCCGCCCAUUAGCAACCCCUUAGGUUUUCUCACUGAAGAAAUCAUCUUAACAAUCCUUGACUAUCUUAACAAUGACCCUUUUGCUAAAAAGUCUUUUUCUUUAACUUGCAAAGCUUUUUACUCCAUUGAAGCUCACCAUAGGAAGACUCUUAAGCCGCUUAGAGCUGAGCUUUUAUCAAGAGCCCUUCAUAGAUACCCUCAUAUUGAACAUCUUGAUCUAACUCUUUGUCCUCGCAUUGAAGACAGCAUGUUGAAUGUACGUUGUUUCUUUGUCAUGUAAGGAUGUUUUGUGUUCUAUAAACCUGUCAAGGUCAAGGUUUUUGACUAAUAUUGGGUUGGUGAGUUUGGUUUCAAGGUGUUUCAAUUUGGUUGAGACUGCUUUGUCUAAUGGGGUAGAGUACUUGAAUGAUUUGGCUACUGCUGCAAUUGCUGAGGCUAAGAAUUUGGAGAAGUUGUGGUUGGCUAGGUGUAAGCUGAUUACUGAUAUGGGGAUUGGUUGUAUUGCUGUUGGGUAUAGAAAGUUGAGGUUGGUUUCUUGAAAUGGUGUUUGAAGGUUAGUGAUCUUGGUGUGGAAUUGCUUGCUUCGAAAUGUAAGGAUAUUAGGAGCUUGGAUCUCUCUUACUUACAGUUUGGCUUUUUGAUGAUUUGAACCCUGCUGCUGUUUCCCGACGCAUUGUUUCUGUUUAGAGCACUAAUCAAGUCUAUGAUUGGGAAAAUUCUAAUCCCAGUGGGACAAUAUUUGAUGGUAUGUUUUAUGGUGGAUAAUACCUUCUAGAGAGGUUUAAUGUUUGUUGACUAAAACUUGGUCAAAAAAGUUGCACGCGAUAUAAAAAGUCCAUGCAAAUGUAGCUACAAAGUGAGAAUCUUUUGAUUACAGAGAAAUGUCUUCCAUCUAUUUUGCAAUUGCAGCAUCUUGAAGAUUUAGUCCUUGAGGGAUGCCUUGGUAUUGAUGAUGAUGGCCUCUCAACUCUUCAACAGAGUUGCAAGUCACUCAAGGUUACUGCAGAUCUAGCAAAAUGUUUGCAGAACUUUUCGGUGCUGAAAUCAGUUAAGCUGGAUGGCUGUGUGGUUAAAUGUUCUGGCAUCAGAGCCAUUUGGAAGUUGGCCUAACUCGGUCUAGGAAUUGAGCUUCAGUAAGUGCUCAGGAGUGGAUGUCCUGAACUGGAAGUCAUUAACAUAGCUUAUAAUGAUAAAUUUACUGAGGCUUCAUCAAUAUCAUUAUCAUGAUGUUCAAGGUGAAAAGUACUUGAGAUAAGAGGAUGUCCUCAUGUCUCAUCAAAAGGUAUAUCAGCUAUUGCUGUUGGAUGUAGGCAACUUGUGGUGUUGGACAUUAAGAAGUGCUUCGAUAUCAAUAAUAAUGCAAUGCACCCAGUUGCUCAGUGUUCCCAAAACCUCAAACAGAUAAACUUGUCGUACUGUUCAGUAACAGAUGUUGGCUUUUCGGUAUUAGCCAGCAUCAAUCGCCUGCAGAACAUGACUAUGCUACACUUGAGAGGCUUAACUCCAAAUGGCUUAGCAGCUGCUCUCUUAGCUUGCAGAGGGAUAACCAAGGUGAAGCUACAUGCUACCUUCAAACCAUUGCUUCCCAAAUCCCUUCUUGAUUACAUCAAAGCCCGCGGCUGUAAAUUUCUUUGGAGAGAUAAGGCAUUCCAGGUGGAAAUGGAUCCAAAGGGAUGGAAGUUACAUUUUGGGCAAAGUCUUGAAUCUCCAUAGACUGUGAAGGAGAAUAUACAUCCUUUUUAAGUGAAUGGAAAAGGUCUUUUCAUCAACUUGUGCCUGUGCUUUUACACCCUCUUUCUAUUCUAUUGAAUGAACGGAUUCUUAAAGAGAAAGGGAUCACAUGUUUUUCCUUUUCCUUUUCCUUUUAGGUAGGAAAGGUGGGAGGUGUGAAAAGAAAAGGGUGGCUUCAAAUUAUUGCAGUAUUUACUGCUCUUCAUUUAGCCCAAUUUUGUAGCUUUUUGGCCAUGCAAGAAGAUAGAAUCAAGCUUUGCUUCUUCUUUUGUUUUUUUAUAUAAGCUGGUUAAGGCUCCGUUUGUUUA
Populus nigra (black poplar) is the source of this 2326-nucleotide long non-coding RNA. RefSeq lists it as uncharacterized. NCBI's taxonomy places the organism in Eukaryota, Viridiplantae, Streptophyta, Magnoliopsida, Malpighiales, Salicaceae. The transcript is spliced from 7 exons. The record is from RefSeq and is a predicted model, not a curated record.